This 404-nucleotide ribosomal RNA is filed under the name Actinomycetes bacterium. Its description in RNAcentral is "Actinobacteria bacterium partial 16S ribosomal RNA". It matches the Rfam family "Bacterial small subunit ribosomal RNA", at positions 355 to 776 of the family's 1533-position model. The record is from RNAcentral. Lineage: Bacteria; Bacillati; Actinomycetota; Actinomycetes.
UGGGGAAUAUUGGACAAUGGGCGCAAGCCUGAUCCAGCCAUGCCGCGUGAGUGAUGAAGGCCCUAGGGUUGUAAAGCUCUUUCACCGGUGAAGAUAAUGACGGUAACCGGAGAAGAAGCCCCGGCUAACUUCGUGCCAGCAGCCGCGGUAAUACGAAGGGGGCUAGCGUUGUUCGGAUUUACUGGGCGUAAAGCGCACGUAGGCGGACUUUUAAGUCAGGGGUGAAAUCCCGGGGCUCAACCCCGGAACUGCCUUUGAUACUGGAAGUCUUGAGUAUGGUAGAGGUGAGUGGAAUUCCGGGUGUAGAGGGGAAAUUCGUAGAUAUUCGGAGGAACACCAGUGGCGAAGGCGGCUCACUGGUCCAUUACUGACGCUGAGGUGCGAAAGCGUGGGGAGCAAACAGG